GGAAAAAGGACGCCAGUUGUUGUCAGUCAUGUUGUUGUUGGAUGUGUCUUUACUUUAAAAAAGGCCUGUCACCACAGAGAAGCCAAAAGAUGAUGGUUUCUCCGUUAUAUUUACUAGUUGGCAUUAAGUAGGUAGUUGUUGUAGGUCUUGGUGUCAUGACAUUAAAGGUUUAUUAACGCUAAACAAAGCUUGUUUAGCUUUUAGCUCUUCUGAAUAGCCACCCACAUCUAAUAAAGAGGUCUGCAGGUCUUGCAUUAGCUGAUUGGUGAAGCAGUUUAGUGUAUGAAAAGCUGAGAGAGAGAUUAAUGACGGGGUAUCACCUUCCUUUACUGACUCUCAACAGACUGACAACUUACAAGAGCUGACUGAUGAUCGGGGCUUUCAAGUUGGUGUUAAAUGGUUCAUCUAUAGCGUUUAUGUUCGGGAGUUAAAGUGGGCUGGAAGCUGCUGGUGACCGUAGGACGUGCUUGCAGUACUUUAGCAUCUAGCUAGCUCUACUGAAGAGGAGGGAGCAUGAAGCUAGUAACAUUUUUUAAGUGGCAGGGAGAGAAAAGAGUGAGACAGAUGUAGGAAGACAGACACACAGGGGAGGAAGUAAAGCGAUUAUAUAUAAAGCAUGUUUUUGUCCUGUCUCCCUUCCCUAAACACCAACCAAUCAUGGCAGAUAGCCGCUCCUACUUGAUGCUGUUUCUGCUGGAGUUUUCUUCUUGUUAAAACACUACGCUGUCGUGAAGUGCUUGCUCAGAGGGUCAUCUGAUUGUUGGGGUUUUCUCUGUAUUGUUGUAGUGUCUUUAUCUUACAAUAUAAAUCACUUUGAGGGACUAUUAUUGUGAUUGGUGCUAUAUAAAUAAAACUGAAUAAAAUUGAAUUGCUUUUUCAGCUCCAGCACUCCACUAAUGUUAAACAAUAUCUGCUUUUCCCUUUGUUUAUGUAUCAGACCUAUUCUCUCUUCAAAGACUGAUGAACCUAAUCAUAUAUAUGUUAAGGGCAGAGCAGGAGCCCUGUGCUCAUUCAGAUGCUUGUAUUUGGAUGAAGAGAGUCGCAGAAUACCCAAGGGCUG
Oreochromis aureus is the source of this 1060-nucleotide long non-coding RNA. The record is from Ensembl. NCBI's taxonomy places the organism in Eukaryota, Metazoa, Chordata, Actinopteri, Cichliformes, Cichlidae.